This 320-nucleotide ribosomal RNA is filed under the name uncultured eukaryote. Its description in RNAcentral is "partial 18S ribosomal RNA". It matches the Rfam family "Eukaryotic small subunit ribosomal RNA", at positions 1470 to 1796 of the family's 1831-position model. The record is from RNAcentral.
CCCUUAGAUGUCCUGGGCCGCACGCGCGUUACACUGAUGCAUUCAACGAGCUUAUAACCUUGGCCGAGAGGCCUGGGCAAUCUUGUUAACGUGCAUCGUGAUAGGGAUAGAUUAUUGCAAUUAUUAAUCUUCAACGAGGAAUUCCUAGUAAGCGCGAGUCAUCAGCUCGUGCUGAUUACGUCCCUGCCCUUUGUACACACCGCCCGUCGCUGCAACUGAUUGGGUGACCUGGUGAACAUCUUGGACCGGCCCACUCAAUUUCGAGAGGACUGGAAAAGGCCGUAAAUCAGGUACAUCUAGAAAUUGCAAAAGUCGUAACA